AUACGUAGGUGGCAAGCGUUAUCCGGAAUUAUUGGGCGUAAAGAGGGAGCAGGCGACAGCAAGGGUCUGUGGUGAAAGCCUGAAGCUUAACUUCAGUAAGCCAUAGAAACCAGGCAGCUAGAGUGCAGGAGAGGAUCGUGGAAUUCCAUGUGUAGCGGGGAAAUGCGUAGAUAUAUGGAGGAACACCAGUGGCGAAGGCGACGAUCUGGCCUGCAACUGACGCUCAGUCCCGAAAGCGUGGGGAGCAAAUAGGAUUAGAUACCCUAGUAGUCCACGCCGUAAACGAUGAGUACUAAGUGUUGGAUGUCAAAGUUCAGUGCUGCAGUUAACGCAAUAAGUACUCCGCCUGAGUAGUACGUUCGCAAGAAUGAAACUCAAAUGAAUUGACGGGG
RNAcentral lists this ribosomal RNA (392 nucleotides) under uncultured bacterium. RNAcentral describes it as "partial 16S ribosomal RNA". It matches the Rfam family "Bacterial small subunit ribosomal RNA", at positions 523 to 918 of the family's 1533-position model. The record is from RNAcentral.